This 1394-nucleotide long non-coding RNA is filed under the name Homo sapiens (human). RNAcentral describes it as "MIR31 host gene". The record is from RNAcentral. Lineage: Eukaryota; Metazoa; Chordata; Mammalia; Primates; Hominidae.
AGUGGUGACCUCCUCUUCUUCUGACCCAUGCCCUAGGUAUCAAAGUCUCAACAGCCCUAGAACGCUGAUAACAAAGGUUUGUUUUGUCUAAGGAAGCCAUCAAGCUGAAACCACAACAGAACAGAAAACAGCUCUGUGUGAAUGGGCAGGAAGGUGAAGGGAGUAAAGCCAGAGAGAGAAUGUGCCAGGUGCCAUAAUCAGUCAAGAAACAUCACAUGUCUUCUGCGCAUCAAUCUGCAUGAUUAUUCUCUUGUCUCAGGCACAAGGGCUGUAUUUCUUCUCUGUCAGAUAGAGAGUGAUUCUUCGGAAGUAUUUCUUCACAGCCAAGAUGGAGUCCGCAUUCAUCAGGGGAGUUUCUCCCACCCUCUCCUCCUGCAUCACACAGGCUUCCAAGUCAUUCAGCUGCUGGUAGAGUUCGGUGCAGAAUUUGUCUAGGAGGUCCUCAUCCCAAGCAGCAGAUGAAUCUUUUGUGGUAAAGAGGUUGAAGAUCUGCUGGAUCAGCUCAUGGAGGACAGAGAUGGCUGGAGCCUUCUGGAACUGGUUGCCAUCAAACUCCUCCUGGGGAAAUCCAAAGUCAUGUCUGUCCAUCAGACAGGAGGAAGGAGAGAUUCUGCUCAUUUGUGCCAGGAGCAUCAAGGUCCUCCUGUUAUCCAGGCUGUGGGUCUCAGGGAGAUCACAGCCCAGAGAGCAGCUUGACUUGCAGCUGAGCACCACCAGGACCAUCAGUAAAGCAAAGGGCGAGGCCAUCGUAGAUAUUGCAGAUACUUCUGGGCUUGCUGAGAUGGGUGACUCUGAACCUUGGGCUCUAGGUUCUCUGAAGGCCUUGCUUCCUGCAAAUGCCUUAAAUAGGGAACAUACUGAUUUCCACUUUCUUAAUGCUUCUGGGCCACUUUCCAUUUCUGUUUUUGCUUUCCUUCAUGCACUCUUUACAUGAGUUUAGAGCCGUGUUUCUCAAAUGUUUUGUUUUUCAUUAUUGUCUUCCCCAUCUUGUUCCCAGAGACUUUUUAGAUAUCUUUUUCCUAAUUGAACCCACCGUGAAAAUUUAAUAACACAGAUACAAUAUGUAUCUAUUUAUAUACUAUAUGUAUAUCUCUAUAAUCAAAAAGUACAAAGUUUAAUCUUUGUAUUCAAUGCAGGUUUAAAAAUAACCAAAUGAAAAAUUUAAGCUAAAAGUUAAAUUUAAAAUCUAUUCAAAUUUUUCUUAACUUUAUAACUAAAUUUGCUUAUGGACUUCAACGUAAUUUAUUUACUGAUAUAAAUUGUACUGUAGGCCUGGCGAGGUGGCUCACGCCUGUAAUCCCAGCACUUUGGGAGUCCGAGGUGGGUGGAUCACGAGGUCAGGAGUUCAAGACCAGCCUGGCCAAGACGGUGAAACCCCAUCUCAACGAAAAAAA